AAAAAUUAAAAAGAAAAAAAAGCAUACCCGACCUGUCGUUCAGCAAUACCGUUAAAAUAAGAACGAGUCCAACCCAAGUAUUUCGACAUGUCGUCAAACAUCGUGAAGAAAAGCCCUAGCACUUCAAUUUCGAGCCCAAAACUGUGUCUAUUUAAUCUUAGUUUCGCCGCAUUCUUCACCGUAUUCUUCACCGCAUACCCAAAAGCCUUCAAUAUCCGAUCUCUUCUUCUCCACUCGUAAUCGCCAUUUCUUUCUCUAAUCUGCCAUUACUCGGGUUUCUCCUUCUUCUCUCUCUGUUUUUCCCAGACGUUUAUGGGCUAUGAUUAGAAAGAGAGAGGCUCGAGUGGGAUUCGAAACUGAAAUCCCUGUUCCGGUUUUUUUCCGAGAAUAGCGAUCGACAGAGGAGAAAAGGAUUGAUUCAAGGUGCCGCCGUCUUCUAAUGAUGGCUUUGGAAGAGGAAGUUGAACUUGUUGAGCUCGAAAACUGAAGAUCCCGAAUGCAUAUCAAAAUGAACCCUAUAGACCAAAUUUUAUAUUUUUAACAUAAAAAAAUAAUUAUUUCCCAAAUCAAGAUAUGUAUGUUUGGACAAAUUGUGGAAUUAAUUCCCAAAUCAAACCAAGCAGAGGGAUAAAAUAAAAAUAAAGAAUUAAUUGGAAUUUUAAAUUCUCAAAUCAUAACAAGAACUGAAAGGGGGACCUGUAUUACUAUUAAGAAAGAACCAAAUUUGAGCAAUGAAAUUAGUAUUAACCUUAAAACGUAAGAAUUCACAACAUUUUUUUUAAUAGAACCUUGUGAAGAAGCCACAGACAUGAUUCAUCGGUUGGAGAUGGGUUUCGUCAUACCCUAUUUAUGGUUAGUUUUGUAAAUGAAACCCUCUUGUAUAUGGAUUAACCUCUCUUUAUUUUAUUGGAUUGAAUAGUUGGCCACAUUUACGAGUAGAAUUAGUAUGAACAACCGAGUACAUCUAUCUCUUAAGUGUUCAAUUUUAAAAUAUAUUGAAGUUGAAAAUUAAAAGUACUAAUCAAAUGUUCAAUUUUAAAAAAUAUUCAAGUUAAAAAAUAAAAGUACAAUUAGUAGUGACAACUGUGUAAUUUGAGUAAUGACGCUACCUUCUUUACUGUUAGAGGUUAGAGAUUGAAUCUUGCAUUUAAAAAAAAAUUGUUUCAUAAUAGAAGUUAACGCAUAAAUGUAAUUAGAUUGAAUCAUUUCCUUUCAAUUUGUUGCAUUUAAAAAAAAAUUGUUUCAUAAUAGAAGAUAAUGCAUAAAUGUGGACUAUCGUGGGACAGUAAUCACACCCAAAGUUAAAUUAGAAACUAGUCUUGUAAUGUCGUAGUUUUUUGUUAGAAAAUUAAACAAAAGAUUGUUAAUCUCAUUCUUAAUUACAUUCUUAAGCUUUAUGUUAUUGGAUAACAAAAAUAGUUCUCUUAUUUGAAGAAUGAAUGAUCUUGUAUUCAAUCUUCUUUCUAAUUCCUCUUAAUUUUAGUGUCAAUCCCUAUUUUGGUAAAGUUUUUUAGGUGUAAAUCACUCCUAACUUCAUAUCAUAUUAUAAUAUCAAAGUUGUAAUUUCAAACGUA
Cucumis sativus (cucumber) is the source of this 1574-nucleotide long non-coding RNA. RefSeq lists it as uncharacterized. The transcript is spliced from 2 exons. NCBI's taxonomy places the organism in Eukaryota, Viridiplantae, Streptophyta, Magnoliopsida, Cucurbitales, Cucurbitaceae. The record is from RefSeq and is a predicted model, not a curated record.